CAGUGUUAAAAUUGUGCAAAGGUAGCAUAAUAAUUUUCUUUUUAAAUGGAAGGUCGGAUGAAAGGGAUUGACUAGAUAUUUACUGUGUCAGUAUAAAAAUAGAAUUUUAUGAGGAGGUUAGAAAUCCUUUUGAUAUUAAAGGGACGACAAGACCCUGGGAGCUUAUAAAUCAAAUUAAAGAUUGAAUUUGUUUAACUGGGGCGGUUAAUAAUUAAAACAUUGUAGUUAGAACAAUUGGAUGGAGUAAAUGAUCAUUAGUUAGACAUAGAGUUAAAGCUACCCCAGGGAUAACAGCGUAAUUAUUCUGGAGAUUUUUGUUGAAGGAGUAGUUUGCGACCUCGAUGUUGAAU
RNAcentral lists this ribosomal RNA (350 nucleotides) under Nerocila monodi. RNAcentral describes it as "partial 16S ribosomal RNA". RNAcentral also lists the same sequence under 1 other name. The record is from RNAcentral. Lineage: Eukaryota; Metazoa; Arthropoda; Malacostraca; Isopoda; Cymothoidae.